This 253-nucleotide ribosomal RNA is filed under the name uncultured bacterium. RNAcentral's name for it is "partial 16S ribosomal RNA". It matches the Rfam family "Bacterial small subunit ribosomal RNA", at positions 524 to 776 of the family's 1533-position model. The record is from RNAcentral.
UACGGGGGGUGCGAGCGUUAAUCGGAAUAACUGGGCGUGAAGGGCAUGUAGGCGGACUUUUAAGUGAGGUGUGAAAUCCCCGGGCUUAACCUGGGAAUGGCAGUUCAUACUGGGAGUCUAGAGUACUUUAGGGAGGGGUAGAAUUCCACGUGUAGCGGUGAAAUGCGUAGAGAUGUGGAGGAAUACCGAAGGCGAAGGCAGCCCCUUGGGAAUGUACUGACGCUCAUGUGCGAAAGCGUGGGGAGCAAACAGG